AGCGCAGACGGUUUAUUAAGUCUGAUGUGAAAGCCCGGAGCCCAACUCCGGAAUGGCAUUGGAAACUGGUUAACUUGAGUGCAGUAGAGGUAAGUGGAACUCCAUGUGUAGCGGUGGAAUGCGUAGAUAUAUGGAAGAACACCAGUGGCGAAGGCGGCUUACUGGACUGUAACUGACGUUGAGGCUCGAAAGUGUGGGUAGCAAACA
RNAcentral lists this ribosomal RNA (207 nucleotides) under uncultured bacterium. RNAcentral's name for it is "partial 16S ribosomal RNA". It matches the Rfam family "Bacterial small subunit ribosomal RNA", at positions 568 to 774 of the family's 1533-position model. The record is from RNAcentral.